This 393-nucleotide ribosomal RNA is filed under the name uncultured bacterium. Its description in RNAcentral is "partial 16S ribosomal RNA". It matches the Rfam family "Bacterial small subunit ribosomal RNA", at positions 523 to 918 of the family's 1533-position model. The record is from RNAcentral.
AUACGGAGGAUCCGAGCGUUAUCCGGAUUUAUUGGGUUUAAAGGGUGCGCAGGCGGGAGAUUAAGUCGGCGGUGAAAUUUUGCAGCUCAACUGUAAAAGUGCCUUCGAAACUGGUUUCCUUGAGUGUAGAUGAAGUAGGCGGAAUUUGUGGUGUAGCGGUGAAAUGCAUAGAUAUUACGAGGAACUCCGAUUGCGCAGGCAGCUUACUAAACUACUACUGACGCUCAGGCACGAAGGCGUGGGGAUCAAACAGGAUUAGAUACCCUGGUAGUCCACGCAGUAAACGAUGAUUACUAGCUGUUUGCGAUACAAUGUAAGCGGCUGAGCGAAAGCGUUAAGUAAUCCACCUGGGGAGUACGUUCGCAAGAAUGAAACUCAAAUGAAUUGACGGGG